CAUGAUUUGUCACAUGACUAAAGUCUCUUCCUUUUGACAGACAUCGAUGCACAGACUACUGGGAAUCCAGUAAAUCCCUGCUACUACCCUACUCACAUUUAGUGCUGGACAGACUGGUUUGACAGGGACGACCCCACUGGGACCGGAGACUUUGAGACCCUGGUGGAUCUACGCUCUGAGAACCCUGGAAAUAUCUGUCCCAGUCCUGUACAGAUUGAGGUCACCACCAUCAGUGGAGUGAGUCACACUGCAACAAGGAACAUAUUUGCAGUGGUUGACACAACCACAGGCUUCAUCUAUAACAACAAGGACCAGCCGCCCAAAACGCCCUGUCAGGACUACCGUAUUUGUUUCAGAUGCUACCCACCAUUCUGUGGAGACGUAGUGUGCUGGAGCAAGUGGUACGAUCGUGACGACCCUAGUGGGACAGGGGACUGGGAGCUCCUCGGUGAUCUGCAGAAAGAAUAUCAUGGAUCCAUCUAUGUAAAAGGGAUGAGCACAGAGAGCGUUACCGCGGACACCAGCACCACUGCCAUUGCAACUGGGCAGACUUUCUACAUUUCCAAUCCAACCCAGGGUUUUGUCUGUCGCAAUGCAGACCAGAAAGGUGGUGGUUCCUGUCGUGAUUACAAAGUGAGGUUUGGGUGCCCUUGUGAUUGCUAAUUCAAACUGUAAACGACUGGAAGACAUUUUUGGCUAAAAAUGGAGAUUGAGACAUCCUAAUACUCUGCACAAAAAACAGUUUUCUAAUCUUAUCUACUAGA
Long non-coding RNA from Osmerus eperlanus (European smelt), 764 nucleotides. RefSeq lists it as uncharacterized. Lineage: Eukaryota; Metazoa; Chordata; Actinopteri; Osmeriformes; Osmeridae. The transcript is spliced from 6 exons. The record is from RefSeq and is a predicted model, not a curated record.